GUGCCCAUAGUUUAGUGGUAAAACUCCAGUUUGUGGAACUGGUAUCGAGAGUCCGAUUCUCUCUGGGCACCCA
RNAcentral lists this transfer RNA (73 nucleotides) under Candidatus Yanofskybacteria bacterium RIFCSPHIGHO2_02_FULL_43_15c. Its description in RNAcentral is "tRNA-His". It matches the Rfam family "tRNA". From Rfam's summary of the family: Transfer RNA (tRNA) molecules are approximately 80 nucleotides in length. Their secondary structure includes four short double-helical elements and three loops (D, anti-codon, and T loops). Further hydrogen bonds mediate the characteristic L-shaped molecular structure. tRNAs have two regions of fundamental functional importance: the anti-codon, which is responsible for specific mRNA codon recognition, and the 3' end, to which the tRNAs corresponding amino acid is attached (by aminoacyl-tRNA synthetases). tRNAs cope with the degeneracy of the genetic code in two manners: having more than one tRNA (with a specific anti-codon) for a particular amino acid; and 'wobble' base-pairing, i.e. permitting non-standard base-pairing at the 3rd anti-codon position. The record is from RNAcentral. Lineage: Bacteria; Candidatus Yanofskyibacteriota.